Tympanuchus pallidicinctus (lesser prairie-chicken) is the source of this 19970-nucleotide long non-coding RNA. RefSeq lists it as uncharacterized. The record is from RefSeq and is a predicted model, not a curated record. The transcript is spliced from 9 exons. NCBI's taxonomy places the organism in Eukaryota, Metazoa, Chordata, Aves, Galliformes, Phasianidae.
AUAGCUCCAAUAAUGGCGAGCUCCUGCUGUUGUAGCUAGCAUGCACAGCCUACAGAUAUAAGAGACUCUAACUUAAAACUUGUUUCAGACACGAGCAAAGGUGCAGGUCAUUGAAAGUGCAGUGGUAGUAAUGCGUCUUAUUGCAUCAGUAGUAGUAAUGCUGCUGCCUUAGCUGUAUGCAGUACUGCAUUCCUUUUUACCUGUGCAAUUUAAAACAAGGUGGAAGUGAACUAUUCAGUUGUGGAUUUGCUGCUGGCAAUCUCACAGAUGCUGGUAAAUGACGUCUGUAAUUGUGCUUCGCUGCAGGUAAGGCUGCUGUUUCUCUCAGAGCCAUCUUCUGCCCUGUAGUGCUCCAGGAAUGAGGCACUUGGUUUCAAUGCAUGUGACCACUCUGAGAAUUUCUCAUAAAGGAGGUCUGUUAAUUUUGUUUUAGGAAGUCUCCUGUCACCAGUUAUGAGUUUCUCUGACAGCUUUUAUAGAAAAAAAAAAAAACAAGCCAAAGCAAAAAAAAAUCCACCUAACAGCCUACAACCAACAGCUACUUUCGUGAUUGUACUUUCUUUCAUGUCUCACCAUUAAGUUUUUUAGAUAGCAGGAUCAAAUCCAAAACCAGAGUGAUCAGGCACACACUGAAUCAUCUGGCACUAAUUUCCUUAGCCUGGGGUAUGACAGAAUAUUAUUUUUGCCCUUAACUUCAAAAAUGGAGAAGUCCCAGCCCUAGUCCUGCUGUGUAGGAGAUUAGCAAACCAUCAUCAAAGUAAAACUUAAGCUAUUCAUGCACCCAGAACAAUCUUUCUAGAGUUUCAUUUGUAUGUCUGUUGAUGGUGUGUUGAAAGUCCCUUAGGCUCAACAACGUGACCGUUGUGUUAAAAUUAAUGUGAGUUAAAUCUCAAGGGAGUCUUUGAAGUGGUCAGUAAGUGCUUUUAGUGUGUUUCAAAGGCAUGUUGGACGCUACGCCCAAGCUGAGUUUUUUGAACAAUGCAGGUAUGAAAAAGGUUGAUGUGAAGAAUAUAAUUUUGUCAAGGUUUCUGUUGUACCCAAAUCUUGCUUUGGUUUUCAGUUUGUGUGCUUACACUGACCAGUACAGAUCAUGUUCUUGUUUGGGGAAGGGAAGGACUGAAAAAAACACCUGUCUGCAUAGCAGUCAUAUCUGACCACAAAUCUGUCUUGCAAAGAGCUGAAACGUGCUUAAUUCGUAAGGACAAGUAGCUUUUAGGCACUGCAGAGACUGAGCUUCUGAUGCAGGUAGCGAUACUUGCUCUCUGUAGUUGUACCAAAAUGAAGCUUCCCAAAGAUGUGGGCAUUCAGUGCUGUUCUCCUGUAACAUCCUGUGUAUGAAUGUGUGAAUGAAACCACAGAAAACAGCUGGCCCUUCUGUGAUAUUUCCACACCAGGCUGCCCAGCUUACUAGAGCUAGGUAAUGUGCAGGUUCUUUCCAAGUGCAGUACUUUCUGUUUGUGCUUAAAAACAAAGUCAGGGUCUUCAUGUCCCUGAAAUAGGGCCUUACAGGUGCUACCCUAACAGAUUAUAUACUGUUUGUCUUUAGAUAAGGUGACCACCCUCUGUGUUUCCUGAUCACUGCUGUAACCUAACAACCAUGAAUUCCUAAAGGCUUGUAUGCUCUAAGCUUUUGUCUUUAGAGGUGUAAUUCCAGUUCCUGGUUUGUAAAGGUCAGGCCUUGAUUUAAUGGCCUGACAGAUAUGUGUCUUGGGGCUUUUACUCAUUUCCCUUGCACUCUGAGGAUGUCCUUGUAUCCUUGUCUUUGGGAUGAGGGUGUCAUUGGUGCUCACCCAUUCUGCUAUGGUCACUGAAUGGGGUGCUGCUGCUCCUAAAACAGUGUUGCUGCAGUGCUGCUUAUGUGGCUUUCAAGUAUCAGAUUUCUACUCUGCAUGGGGACAGGAAACAGCUGCUGCCAAGUAGUUCUGCCUCUUCACGACUUGGGCCCUUACAGCUGUGAAAAACUGAUUUGGUCAUACUAUCAUUUAUUUGAGCAGGUCUUAAUCUAAACAGCAGAGGGCAGUUUUGCACAUCUGUUUUGUGCAAGCUCAUCCUGCAAAAUCCUGAUUUUCAGAAUCUUCACGUCUGGAAGGGUGUUGCAAUGCAGCAUUUUGUCCAAACAGAUUUGAUACAGUGUAUGAUAUGUGACCAGUGGGGGCAGCAGUGGCAUCUGUUUCUACUGACACCCAGUUUUGGCGUUUUAAAUCCUCACAUGUUUGUUGCAGUUAUAUAAUUACAGCCAUUUCCCUUCCCUUCCAUCCCUCAGCCCAAACCAGGUAUAUAGGGAAGCCACCUUCAUUGUGCCACUUACACCAUGCCACAAAAAUGCAACUGCAUGUCAUUCCCUGACACAUCAGAGAAGGAUUCCCCCUGCCCAGAUGUGAUUUUUCUGGAUCAGCUGAGUGAAAUGAGAGCUGUCAACUGCUGUAGGGGCAGAAGAGAAAUAUACGGCUUUAGCCUGGAGUUGGGGUUAACCACCCCCUUUUCCUCCCACCUCUCACUCCCCCUUUCCCCCCUUCAAAAAAGCAAAAUUUUGGCAUUAGGGUGCAGUUUUGUUGCAAUCCUGUAGCUGAUGUGCAGGAGCUGGUAGGCUCUCCGAUGCCUAGGAGGCAGCUAUUUGUGGCAGAAUGGCACUCUAGCUUAAGACCAAAUCAUAACCACUCCUGUGCUUCUGAAGUGCUGUUUCUGUGCUUCGUGGUCGUGUUUGCAGGGGAAGGUAUAUGUUGGUACUGUAAGUGUAAAUGGAAGUGUUCACCCCUGUAUUAUCCAUCAGCAAGCAUUUUUCUAGACAUUUCACUGGUUAUUAUGAAAUAUUUCAGAGUCUGCCUAAAGCAUAGCAAGUACCUAGAGAAAGUGAGCUGUUCAAUAAAAGAAACCAUCUCUGCAAACCAGACUUUUCUCUCCUUAGGUCAAUCUGGAUGUGUUACACCCUCUAAGGUAGCCUGAAAGACAUAGAAAUUCGCUGUAACAAAUUCUUGCCCGCUUUGGCAUGUAUGUAAAAGAGCAUUUCCUGAAGCUCUGAAACAACCUGAUUAGCAUCUUUUGUUGUAUUUAAAAUGUUUAAUUAGAAGUAAUGUACUUUCCGCUGUGAUGAUUAAAAUGACAAUGAUUAUUGCAUGAAUUUGUUAAUUAUAAUGCAAUGACUAAUUAAAUGGAGAAAUGGAGAAAAGGGAUUCCUGAGCAAGCAUGUUCUUUGAGAAAGUCUCUGCUGGUGUUUUUAACUGAUAGUGCAUGUGUAAUCAGUUCAUACCAGUAUCUCAUUAUUGAUGGGAAUGGUGUUUGGUUCUGUUGGAAAUUUACUGUCAUGGCACGUUGACCUGGUGUUAUGCGAUUGCUUGGUCCUGUAAGUGAGGAAUACCAACUUGUAGAAUGAAGGAAAGGUAAGCCUUUGUAUAUACAAUGAAGAGAAACUGCAACUGUUCCCAGGUUGUAGCCUCCGUGUUUAUUGAGUUCUUCCAGCUUGGGUGUUUGCUAUAAUGGCACUCAGCUGAAUUUGCAUAAACAUGAGGGGUUGCUGUUUGCUUUUCAUUUGCUUUUAUCUCCAUCUAAAGUUCUGAGCAUUAACAUCAGGCCCCUUGGCUUAUGUUAGAAGUUGUCUGACAAAGCUACGAGCCCUUUUUUACUUCUCUGUUGGGAUGUCAUCUACCGGCCGUUGGCACUGGCAGAAUUCUUAGCAUGAAAAUGUUAUUAUUACUUCUGUGUCAGCAGAGAUGUAUGUGACACUGUGAAGAAUCUGUCAAGAGGGAGUCUGUGCCUCUGCAAGCUUUCAGUCAGCGGUCCUGAUCCUGUAACUUACUCUGCACGGUCCCUUCCUUAGGGAAACCUAAGCUACCAAGAUCAGGACAUGGGGACAGUGAAACAGGAAGGAAGAAGAUAUAACCACGAAAAUGAGAGCUGGCUAAAGAACGCCUCCGAUUGAAAGGAUCCACUGAAGCUCAUUAAAACGAUCUUAAUGACUUCCAAUUCAGCUGUGUCUGUGAUACCAGAACACAAGGUAAUUAUGGAAGUGCUAAAUAGUGUUAUUACUUGAUAUUACAAAGAGGGUGGGGGUAAGGCCUGGCGAGUCCUUCCCCUACCUGGCCCAGACAAGAAUGAGAGUUGCCUCUAGCCUUGAGGCCUGGGCAGGCAGCAUGGGACCAGGCCUGGCUUGGGCUGAUGUUGGAACAUGGCUCCUUCAUGCAGCAUGAGCUCUGGGGCAUGGGUAGUGAACUGGGAGACAACAGAAAAGUCCACACACUGUCAUUUCAGCUUCCGUCUUGUCUGCAGAGGAAGCAAAUGUGCUCUCUUCCUGCUCUGGAUUUGCUUCUCUUUCCCUCAGCUUUUUCAGUCUCUCCUGCAGCCCUGUUGGUCUGGCUGAUGCAGAUGGCAAGCAGCUCUGCUCACUGCACGCCUGCCUGCACUGGGAGAAACCUGUGCAGCGAUGAUUCACUCUCAAAUGAUUGCUUGACCCAGAGGAGGAGUUGAUGAUACAUGGAGGCUGGGACGCACCAGCCAUGAUUAUAAGAUGAUUCACUGCCUGGGCUCUGCCGUUCAAAACAUUCUCAGUAUUGCAAGGCAGGGCCGCUCAUGGAGGCUGCAAUAAGGAAGUGAUAUUUGCACCCAGAGCUGCCACGUUCUCACUUUCUGCUGCUGCCUCUGGUGUGAUGUUUACCUCUCUGGCCAGGCUGAUGCCACAAAGGUCUGCUGGCAGGGGCAGCUGCCUGGCGCUGCCAUGUGGCCGCACCUCGUGCCUCUUGCUUACAAUGACCAUCCUCACCCUAAGAAGGUCUGGCCCAAAGUGUAGUAUACCCAGGCAUCUGGUGUCCCUGCAAGGCCAUCCCCUGCUGUGUGGAAGUGUGUCAUGGAUCAAUAGCACUAGAGUGAGGGGCUGGUGGGAAGUCAAACUCCUUCCACUCUGCAUAUUCUGGCACAAUAUUCUUCAAUAUCCCACCUCUUUGUCCUUCACUCUUCCUCCCCCUCCAGAUUUUCUCCUGCCUGAUACCUGCACUCAGAUAAGCGGGGAAGUCCUGCUUGCCUGGAAACAGUGUCUUACCCUCUGACCCAGGAGCUGGUACUGUUUGUGGAAGUAUGCUGCAGGCACUGAUAAGAUUUGGGACUUGGAAAGUUUACUUAUACUGACAGGGGCUUGGAAAUGUGUUGGGGCUAACAGCACAUGUGGUUGGUAUUAUUCUUUCCCUCAAGCUAAGUUGGGCUACGCAUUAGUCAGCAAGCUGGGCAUUGCUGGGAGUUCUUAAACAUCUGGUUUGCCAGUGACAAAGUUGCAAACCUGUAGCACUACACUCUUGACAUUUUCUGCAGUGUCGUGACCAGGCUGCAGCGCUGAGGAAUUGUGCUCCAUCUGCUGCUUUCUGCAGCAGUUCUGCCUGGACUUUGUUCAGUUUCAAGUCUUCAGCUGUCACGCUGUGUUGCCAGCUAUUCUACAUGCCUAAUGAACUAGGUGAACUAUCUCUGGAAAAUAAUCUAUCCAAUGGAUUUUUAGCCCAUGUUUCCUUUGAGGAAAUUGCCUUCAAGCUGCCUUUCAAAUGUAUGUUACGUGCAGUAUUACUUGUGCUUUGUCCAAAUGUGUGCUGGCUAUGGACGCUCUGGGUGCUCUUGGAUGUAACUGCGGUUUUAAAUACCCUCUGCUGGUUAUUCAUAGCGCCCAUGUAGUCAUUUAACAAACACGGUGUUACUUCUGCUCUCUAAGUGGAUGAGUAACGCUCUUAUAAAUAGGAGGAAUGCGAUCUGAAAGGUCACGUGAAUGUUCCCCAUGUGAACGUAUCCCUAAACUAUGAGAUUUCUCAUUCCAGGAGCAUGCUUGCAAAAAAGAAAGUGUUCAUUACUUGGAAAAAGAAAAAGGGUUAAAAACCCAUUCAAUCAAUUUCUCUGCUUGAACUUGGACAGAUUUUUGCAGUGUUUGCUUUUGUCUGCAAUCUCCCUUGACCUGUUUGGGAACAGCCCUGAUCUCAUUCUCAUGCCAGCACCCUCCCUUGGAACAUAAGAGGACAUAUCCUCAAGUAGAUGUAAGGAACUUCCUCUAAGUUAAGUUUCUUCCUAACCUCUUGCAUAUCCUGAUGGAAAGCAAGUGCACUCCUAAUACUGGAUUCCAAAGCACGUGAAAAGAGUGCAGGUUUCUGCACAGCUUUCCUCAGCUCGGUACCAUCAAGAGAAGGUGCCGUGCUGCCCAGACUGCUGGAGUGAAAUGGGGGUGCUGCUUCCAAGGUCCCACAGGGUACAGCAGGGUGCACUGUUAACGCAGACAGAAUGCAGCAGGUAGCUCUGCAGGCACUCUUGUCUUUCCAUUCUGAUCAAAUGAAAACAAAGUAAGUGAGCGUUGCUGCUCUCCUGCUUCUGAAAGGUAAGAGGAAGGGUGGAUCUGGGCCUCAAGAAGCACCACACCAUUUGCCCCCAUCUACUGCUCAGAUUAUUCUGGGAGCCUCUAGAGGGUUGAACUGACCCUCAGGCAGGUGGGCUGUGCUGAUGGAGCACAGCAGAGCGAGCUGCCCUCAGGCAGGCACAGCACCCAGCUGGGAGGUGGCAAUCUGGAUCAGCACUUCUCCCUUCCACCUCUGCAGCAGCAGGUGUGCUGGUCUGAGCAGCUGGUGGCUGGGGUUGGCCUGUGGGACUAUGCACUGGAACAAAGUGGAGUACAGGGUUUGUGCAGCUGGCUCAGGGACGCGUCCUGAUUUCAUCAAAACAAAGGCAGGGCAGUUCAUUUGCUGGCUGAAGUCCGAGGUGGCCUGUGGGUAUAAUGGCUGUUAGUGCUAAUAAAGCGAGCAGGAACUGGAGCUGCCCUCUGCCUAAGGAGAGUGGCUGUGGUGGUACAGAUAAACCCCCUUUGCCCUCCACAUCCAUGUAGCCACAUGCAAACCUGUUGGGAGCAGUCCCUGAGUCCCUCCUGAGGCGUGCUUUUCCAACAGGGUGGGAGAGCGCUGGCAGCCCUGUGCAAGGCUGUGUCCUGGGCUGAGCUGAGGGUUGGACUUGCGGAGGGCUGAGCUCCUCCUCCUGUGCCCUGGUUCACUACUUUGAUUUUCUGCUCUAGAUGCUGCCGGUCCGUCUGUGUUAGGCAAGUUACCUGAAGUGGGAUAUGAUAAAAGAGUCUCUCUUCCAGCUUCAUUUCUAGCCAUCAUCCCUCUGUUCCCUCUCUGACAGGAGGGUGGUAAGAGAGCCUCCUUAUGCAUGGAGCAGAGAGGGACCACCAGAAGAGGAGGCUCUGGGAAAGUGGAAGGAUUUUCUUCUAGUUUUUCUUGGGGAAAAAGUGGAAGAUUGACAGACUGAGGUGAAGAUUUUCCAGUACCAAUUCUGGAUGGAAAAACAUCCUCUCUGGGAGCUGCAGAGUGCCACAUCAGGGGUCCAGAUGCCCGGUGUAAAAUCAACAGAAGAGAUUUAUGCAAGCUGAGAGCAUGCAGGAGGACUCAGCGUUGCGGGCCCUGUUCAUUUCAUGAUGCACAGAGCUUCCUUCUCUGCUGCUCUGCAGGCAAGUGAUCUCUCCUCUACUUGGCUGAUAGGGGCCCAGGUGAAUUCUGGAAUAUUCCAACCUGGAAAGGACUUUGAGUCCAAGCCCUGGCUCCACACAGGACCAUCCAAAAUCAAACUGUGUGUCUGAGAGCAUUGUCAAAAUAGUUAAUGAACUCCAAAGGACUGGGGCCAUGACCACUGCUGUGGAGAGCCUGUUCCACUGCCUGACCACACACUGGUGAAGAACCUCUUCUUAAUACUCUUCUUGAACUUCACAUGGUUGAUGAUUAUCCAGCCCUUUAAUUUGCUGAAAUUUCUCUGCAAGACCUCUCUGCAAUCAGGGGAGUCUACAGCAGUGCAUUCCAGACUUCAAGAUGCAUAUGGACGAUGCUUUCAGAAAAAUGGUUUGCAUUUUGGGUAGUCCUAUGUAGAGCCAAGAGUUGGACUCCAUGAUCCUUAUGGGGUUGUUCCAACUCAGGAUAUUGUAUGAUUCUGUGAUUCUAUUCUAAUUUAGUAUCAUCUGCAAGCCUACUUAAUAUGGAUUUGAGUUCUGUGUCCAGACCAUUUAUAAAAGCACUGAAGAGAACUGACUAAAAUGGAGCCCAGUAGAACCCUGUUAAUGACUGGCCACCAGCUUGACGUAUUUGCUGUAACACUUUGAGCCCGACCCAUGAGCCAAAUGUACACCUGUUGCAUUAUGUCUAGCUGGAUGCUGGACAUUUUGUCAAGAGGGAUAUGGUGAAAAAAAGUAUUAAAAUCAUUGUUGAAAUCUAAAAAGAUUACAUCAGCUGGCUUCCCUUGAUCAACAAGGUGGGUCACCUUGGCAUAAAAGGAAAUUAAGUUUGUUAAACAGGACUUUCUCCUCAGGAACCUGAGUUGGUUAUGAUCAACAGCUGCAUUGCCUUUCAAGUGUUUUUCACUAACUUCCAGAAUAAUCUUCUGCAUAAUUUUACCAGGCACUGAAGAGAGACUGACAGGCUUGUAAUUACCAGCAUCUUCUUGCUAUACCCUUCUUGAAAACUGGGACAACAUUUGCCAGCUUCCAGUCAGCUGGGACUCAUGUGGCAUGUGAAUCUCUGUUGCUUCUCCAAGGACACACCAAGAGCCUACGAUAGAAAGAGGAACAAAAGCUCUCUCUCUGGUUCAGUGCUUCAACUGCACAAAUGUAAUUUAUCAAGAUGGUAUUUAGAUAGCCUUAGAUAAAAGAUACAUCAAAGCAUACUUUUGGCUGCUGCUCUCAGAAGUAGCAGUAAAUCUCCCAAGGGAAUGCAAGUAGUCAGAUAUGAUCCAAGUUAUCAAAAUGCUCCAUCUCUUCACUACCCCUCCUCCUCUCACUUUGGUUGAGUUGACAGGGAAGCCCUCUCUUGGGACUUGUGCAUCAUCUAUUACCAUCAGUAGAUUUUAAUUCAGAAAUGUGUGUUCAUUCUUUUCCAGCAAAACGCUAUUUCAACACUAAUUCUGAAGAACUUUAAUUUUGUAAAGGAUCCAAAAAGAAUAAUGUACCAACCAUUAUGUUUAUUUUGGCCACUGUGUCUAAGUGCUGAUAUUAGCAUUUCUGAGAGGAUUCUUUCAUCAGUGAAUAAAGCUUUGUACCUGUGAGUAAGAUCUUGCUCAGAAGGUCCUGAGUGCGUCCUUUCCUCUAUCAACAAAGCUUACAAAUAUCAAGAGAUGGUUUUGCAAGGGAAGGUAGUGCACAUCCAUUAUUCAAGAUAAGAAAAAAGCUACUGAAAAAAUUCCGUGCCUAUUGCCAAAGGUGCAAUGAAAGCAGCACUAAAUUUAAAGAGAAACUCUUUAUUUUUUUUCAUGUGCCAUAUUAGUUUGUUUAUUUAGAGACCUGAAUAUAUAUGUAUUCAAAGUGGCUCUCCUAUUUUCUUUUGGUUUUGAUUUUUAAGCUAAAAUCCUACAAUACAACUUCAAGCACAGUGAUUAGUUCUCACUGUCACAGAAAGACAAGCAGACCUGCAGUACCAGUAACAACGACUGCUGAAAAUAUUUUGCUCUUUCCAGACCACGACCUCUUCUGUGGAUGUCAGCAGAAUAAGCAUACUUUUAUAAAGUACCCUCAGAUCUUGCUUUCCCUCCUGCUGUUUUGUCACACUUCUUGCAAUUUGCCUUAAAUUACUUGCUUUCACACCAUGGUGCAUGGUGCUGUUUAUUUAAAAAAAGCAGUUUGUUUGCCCUGCACAGACCCACCUGGGAUGCCACAAGCAUUGGAAGUGGAUGGAUUUUCCUGCCCUGCCAGCAACUAGCUUUUUUCCCAUCAGUUUGCUACAGGUCUCUCAGUGAUGGAGGAAACAUCCAUUUCUGACAGGAGGCUUUGACCAUUGCCACUGUCCAAAUUCACAUUUGAAAAAAGAUGACAUAUGUCUGGCAUCCAGUUUGCUUACAAGUGCCCCUUUCAUAUGGAAGAUGAUAGGACUAGAGGGAACAGCCUCAAGUUGCAUCACUGGAGGUUCAGGUUGGAUAUUAGGAAAAAUUUCUUCUCCAAAAGAAAGGUGAAGUGCUGGAAUGGGCUGCCCACGGAGGUAAUGGAGUCACCAUCCCUGCACGUGUUCAAGAAUGUGUCAAUGUGGUACAAAGGAACAUGGUUUGGUUGGGAAAUACUGGUUGGACUAGAUGACCUUGGUGGUCUUUUCCAACCGUGGUAAUUCUGUUAUUCUAUAAUACUUUGUGAGCAGUGAGUCUCAGCCAUCAUUUAUAUGGCAGAGGAAGAAAGAAAGUAUGAAUGCAAUGAGAGACCUAGGAUCAUAGAAUCAUAGAAUUAUUAAAGUUGGAAAAGACCUCUAAGGUUAUCUAGUCCAACCAUCCGCCUACUGCCAAUAUUGCCCACUAAACCAGGUCCCUAAACUCACCCUACAUUUACAGCUCACUCUCUUCUACGGAAAGUCCUCUCAGAGGUCUGUAAAUGUGAGGUGUCUCUCAGAGAGUUCUCUGCUGGAGCUUCUUACCACCCCCAUACACUGCUGGGAGGAGGUUUGGUUGAUGCUAAAGGAAAACUCUGUGGGCUAUCUUAGAAUGAGUGAGUGGCUGCUGAAGGGCUAGUAGUGUACACCAGGGAUGUCACUGUGAGCAGCCAAAGAGGAGGCAGCAUCUGCUCUGCCACAGAUAAACACUUCCCUACACCUAACCAGGGUGAUUUCCCUUCAAGCUGAGGUGUGAGGCCAGCUGUCUCUCACAUUAUUGCUUCCACAGUUGAGAUAAGGGUAUUAGGGGCACUGCCACCUAGGCAGGCAAUCUUUAAGUGCAGCUGCAAGUUGCCUGUUCUAAUGACAACAAGCCUGGGUGGUGAGGAAGAGAGGAUAGGUAGCAGCAUUGAUACUGCAUAAUGUAAUGUGAUAGCAGAUAUAAAUGUGACUCAUUCUAGCCAGAGGCUUUAGAAUAGGAAGUUGGAUAAAAGAUAUAAAAGCAAUGGGAUUUUUUUUUUCCUUUUCAGCGAAGGUCACCGCCAGGAAUAGCAAGGGAAAUUAUUAAUGGAGGAAGAAAUAUUCUCCUUCAGAUGAGAAGUAUUGUCUUGUUCUGCAGUUCUGUUCCCAUACAGGGGGUCUGGUAACAAAGCCCAGCAUGCAGGGCUUUCUCCCUGGUGCUGCUGAUGGCACCGCCUGCUCCGUGCUCAUCCUGCAGAGACGUGGGAGGCUGUGACUGAUGUGCUGUGCAGGCAGCACCUCCAAGUGUAGACCACAAUGUGACCUGAAUGCUGUGCAGGAGCGUGGUGCUGCACUUUAAUUCCCUCACCUUGGAGUGGAAAUGGGCUUGCUCUCAGAGCUCCCAUGCGACAGAGGAAAAACCUAUUACAGGAAAGCUACAAAGAGCAGAGACUGUCUCAGACCUGAGGGGAGAGGCCACUGCUCCACCUGGAUGCAUGCCAUGGAGGGACAUCAUGGGCCAGGAAAGGGUUCUUCUCUCUCAGGACCUCCUCCAGCACUUUGGCCUGGAGAUGAAGUACCCACAAGUCAGGAAGGCCUCUUGCUGUGGACAGUGAGGUCUCUAUUUCCAGAAGUUCUGUGAAGAACGCUGUGGUGCACAGGAUCCUGCUCCCUACCAGCAUGGGAGGUUUCCAUGCACCCAGCACCCAGACUUGCCCCCAUAGCCCCACUGCAGGCUCCUUGAGAGACUCUCUUCUUUCUUGCCUCUGCAUCUCCCCAGUGAUCAACCUCAUCUUGCAGUGGUGGCAGACUGACAGGCUGUAAAGUAAGUCCAGCUGGAAAAAAGAUCAUUUCAUUGUCUUCUGUCCAACCUCAUUUUUCAGCACUGAAUGUCCAGUGGUGCACCUGUCUGAAACCUCCAAAUACCUGGAGAUUCCACACAGCAAUGAUAUUUUUUUAAAAUAGUCCACUUAUUGUCCGUGCUACAUUUCUCUGCACCUUUUAGUCAAUAUCCCAGAUGAAAGAAACAAGCAGGAGAUUGAAAACAACUGAAGUCUCCACUCAAAUUUAGAUUCUGCAGAGAGCUCCUUCAUGCAGCUGGAGCUUUUAUGAAGUCUCCACACCAGUGGGUUUGCUCUUCACACGGUGUGUACUCAUCUCUCAUUGCACUGCAAUGAGUGCUGCAGAGCCACUCCUCAGCAGGUCCCUGGGGGUUGUGAUCAGAAUGCAUUGGCUGAGCAGCAUGGUUCUGCGGCUCUCGUCACUCCCAGGCCUUUAUUCCUGCUUGACUCUCAAGUGGAAUUGCCCAUGAGAUAAUUGCAUAUUUCAUACGAAAGGAGUAGUUUUUGUCCUUUCUCCACAUUUCCACGGCCAAGCCUCACUUACUAUCUGUAAAAUUUUGCACCCUCAGAACCUAAGCGCUCAUUUCUGAGGAAGGAUUACUGUUGUCCAGUUUCCACUGGAACACUUCUCUCAGUUGGCUGGCCAACUUCUCACACCUUGGCUUAAUGGAGGUGGAUCUCAAACCCUCUACUGCAAAAACAAAGAGUGAAAAAAUACCCUUAAUUUAGCAUCCAAGCAGCUCCCCAUGGGCAGGAUCCAGGACCUAGGGCAGACAAAGUCAGGGAGAGGUGAACUUGGAAAUGGCAGGUGAGAUCUAUCACUGGUGGUGCAGGAAAGCUAGCAGGAUGCUUGUCUGGCUCUGCAGCCAGAGUCCUGCACACAUUGCUUCCACAGGUGGGUGGUGCACGAGGAGACAUUCUGCUUAGAGGAAGCCUGGUCUUUCCUCACCUUUGACAUUUCUACGCAGUGAAAAAAGCUCUUGGCUGUUUUCCGGAAGCUAGGAUUCAAUGUUGUUUUUUUUUUUCUUCUUUUUCCACACAGACUAAACAUUCAUGUCAUAUCCUGUCCAAGCAGUUGUUUCAAUAGCUGCCCUGACAAUGAAGGCACUUGGGCUUAAGUGGCGAAUUCUCUGUGACCAGAACUGCUCUUAAUGAACGAUUACACUUUUGUAAGGCCAAAAUGGUUGUUAUUCAGCUUUGGCUUUUGACAGAAGCACUGAAAAUGUUUCUGGAUUUAUGUGAAAUGUUGUGCAAUUUCUAUAAUACCAAGGUGGUAUUAAUGUGAAAUGGACACAAUCUGUCCUUUUCACAUUAAUAGACUAAACAGCAAAACAGGAGUGGGAGGAUUAAAGCCUCAGUGGUUUCAUACUCUCUGAAUCCAUUGGAGUUUUACAGCUCUAGCAAGGGGAAUAUUCAGAAGCAGAAGAAAUCAUAGAAUCAUAGAAUGGCUAGGGUUGAAAGGGACCUCAAAGAUCAUCCAGUCUCUAUCCCUUGUCACCGGCAGGGUUGCCAACCACUGCUGCAAGCAUGAGAUCAGGUUGCCCAGGGCACUGUUUAUCAUGGAUGUAUAAGAAGGAUGUAUAAUUUUGGAUGUAUAAGAAUAUGUGUAAGAAAAUGUCUAAGAAUAUACUAAAUCUGAAACCAUAUAUAUAUGAACUCAAAUUGGCUUUUCUUUUAAUUUCUUUCUCUUUGAAGAUGUUGGUCAAAUUUGGAAGGCUCUGGCAGGGGCAGGCAGGACUCUGGAGAAAUAAGUGACCCUUCACUGCGGUGGAGAGGUUCAGUGCUGUCCUUCAAAACGGCUUCAGCCCGUGCUGCAGCAAUGCUGCAUGUGCUUGGGUUGGAGGAGGCUGCAGCUCACUGCAGUCAGAGGAAACGGAGAAAAGCUCAAUCCAGGCUCAAGAUGCAGCACAGUUCAGGCUGCUUUGAAAUAGAAAUUCUUACAGUUGGUUGCUGGAUCCAGGGAGGACGCAGUAAGAUGUCACUGAUUACCUCCUGGAGAAGCCACAGAUGACUGAUGACUGUUAAAUCACUUUUUCAUAGUGAAAAGCACACGGCGGUGGGAUCUGCACCGGAGGCUGUUGCAUCACACGUCGUGGUUUCAGCAGAGCUUUGCAGAAAAAAAAAUGAAAGUAAACUGUGUUAUUUUGAGCCUGAGCAGUGAGUGAGUUCUCAGUAUCUAAAUGAGAGCUUUUAGAGUCAGCUCCAGGUGUUGCAGGAAGUGGUGGAGGUGACUCAGUAAAUGUCACACUUCCCUCCAAGUCAGUUGUGCUGUCCAAAAAUAACACUCCUUGGGCAUCUGGCUGCUCAGCAUGGCCCUGCUGUUUUCGUGGCACUCAAAACAUUCCUGCUUGGCACUUUCCUGGUUUUGCACCACCUUCCCUGUCACAAGUGUUUGCUUUUAUCUUCCUGUCUCUGUUCUUCCCCAUAAAGCCAGAGACAUGGCUAGUUGAGUUUUGCACAUCUCUGAAAACAAACAUUAAUCCCUUUCAUCCUCAUUCCAUAGCUUUGAUGCAUUUUCUUAAAUAUUUAUGCCCCUUGCCUGACCACCGUUUCCUCUCCUGCUUCAGCUCAACACAUUUCUCACUGCAGCUGCCCUGUUGAAGCAUUGCAGAGGGCACUGACCACACACAGGCUUAAGCAGGCAGACAGCAGUACAAUGGAAAAGAGAAACCUUUUGUAUCUGGUGGUGUGGGCUGUCCCAGGACAGCACCAGAUGGAAAGAGGAGAGGAGCCAGGAAUACAGAAAAGCCCCAAAGACUGUGUUAGGUUAGAAGAGAAAGUGUGAGCAUGUCAUCCCAAAUGCUCCCUCCCUCACAACUUAGGAAACAUGAAUGGGCCCACAGCUGGAGAACUGCGUAAGUCAGAGCAUCAGAUUUUGGUGCAUGGGUCAGCUACAGGCUGAAAGUGCCAGAUCAGUGGAGGCGUUGGGAUCUUUGCUGUUCUUUAUGGACAAGUCCCAUAAAUUUCUGCAACUGCUGCUUGGUUUGGAUUUUGUAAAUUGACACUUUUGUUUUCAUCUGGGCCUUACUUGAGAAUGAUUCUUAUGACAGUUGUCUAACCCCUGGGUUAUCUGCUCGUAUGCCUGCAGUAAUGCUUCAGACUAGGUACUACUGGCUUCUUAAAACUAACCCUUAUGCUCUCUUACCCGCAGGCAUCUCAACCGUACAGACGUUAUCUCACAGAAGUGGGUUGAGUGCUGGUCUUGGAGAGGGAUGCCCAAGCUAUGUCACACUUGCUAUUAGAGAUAUGGCCGUACCUCACAUGCUGGUGGUGAAACCACUCUGGAGCCCUGUAACAGAAAUGCUAAGUCAUAGCCUGAAUCAGUGAUUGAGCACCUGGUGGGAAGGCAGGACCAACCCAGGGGAGCUCAGGUGCAUGCAAUGCAUCUGAGUACCCAGAAGGAGUGGAGCCAGGAUCCACCUCUUCCCAGACCUCAUUUAAAAGUUGGCAGGGGAGGAAAGGGUACUUUUCUGGGGGUUCCUGCAUUCCUGAGGCCUUCAAAGGUAGUUCUUGGCUGGAGCUGCCUGGGCUGCAUGUCAGUCCACACAACUGCUGUCUCCUCAAGGAGGAUGGGCUGACUGAGAGAUGAGAUUUCCAAGGCCUCUGUUGUUCUGCAGUACAAGUUUCUACCUUUUCACUGACUUAAAUGAAGGAGCCCUUUGGAGAAUGAUGUUGCCUGGAUCUUAAAUACUCUGAAGCAUUUGAUCAUGAGUUCUGGAUGCGUUCAGGGCCAGAUUUUCUGAUUUACAAGGCUUAUAUUCCUGCUCUUCAAAAUUUGGGAAUGUAGGGGUUUUGGGAGGACUGUAGAGGGGCUUGAUUCAGCUGGCAGUGACACCAAGGUGGCUGAACACAGCAGCACGCCUGCAACAAGGCCUGGCCCUGCAGUCUCCAGCUGGGGUGGGCAGCCUUAGCUGGUGAUGAUUCAGUGCUGCUGAGCUGGGCAGUGUGAUCCCACAGGGAUGUGCAAGGAGCAUUGGGUUGGGGGGGAUGCAGCGGGCAAUGGGCUGAGACUGCUAUCCUGCAGAGCUGGUAGGACUACUGAGGCUGUGGCAGGGACUAGAAGGCUUCUCUGGGGCAUAAGAAGCACCAAAGCACUGCUGGCUGCAUUCCUCUGGGUAAGCAAGCUGUGUGUUGGGCUGGUGGAGCAAAGCUUCAUUCUGUCCCGUGGACCACUGUGAAAUUUUCAAGGCAACGUGGAUUGUGUGGAGAUGCCUGAGUAUGUGGGAUGGCUCUGAGACCUCCCCAGCAGCUGUGUCUGCUGCACUCAUGGCAGGUAUAACACUGCUUUAGCAGAGCUUUGCAUAAUUUCUUGAAGGGAAGGAUUUAGCAAGACAAGAAAAGAGGAAAUGCAAAUGUCUUCCUUUUAUUUUUAUUUUUUGGGUCGGGCAGCCAUAUGCUCGCGGUGCCUCCAUUCACUCCAGCAGCUGCAUAUGGUAGAUGCAGUGACCGGAAGCUGCGGUCCAGCUGUGUGUGUGUAGAUGAUGCAAAGUCUGGAAAAUAACAAACAUGAGCUCUCCAAGCAGGGGCAUGGCCGUUACUGCACGCGCGCUGUAAUUCAGGAACUAACAGAUGUCCCCAAGCUUCGUGCCUGGCCCAAAAGGGACAUAAGAAGGGAACUGGUUCAGGGUUUAUGCACAGCUGCGCGGAUCAGAUGACACUGUCAGCUGAAUCUGCCCCUAGCCAGUCCUCAUUUAUCAGAGCAGGAACCCUGACCUUUAUUUGGGCACAGAAAUACCAUCUUGGAAGGCUCUGCAAAGAGGGAGAGCAAGGGCCAUAAGAAUCCAAGGCAUUUCUGUAAAGAAGAGUCUGGUUACAGACUGAGAUAUGCAGCCCUCCAUAGCUGUAUGCUCCUCACUGGAGUUUGCCAGAAGCAGUCCCAAAGGAUGCUUUCCAGGGGCCAGGCUUGUGGAACAUUUAACAUUUCCACUUACGUUUAUCCGGGGUGACAAGCACUGCUACACACGACGGUCUUGUUCCCAACUCUGCAAGGUGGGGGCUCAGACUUAUGGUAAUAAGAGGCUGUUUAGUGGCCAGCACAAAAUGAGUUGGCAGCUGCCAUCAGGUCCUGUGUCAUGAAACCACUGUACAUUGGCAGCCUCAGUUCAACAGAACAAGCUGGGACAUUUUUCUCAGUCUUAUUUGGAACACAAAACCUGAGCUUGAGCUCUGCUUUCACAUGGCAUGGUGGCUGAACAUAGCUCUGCAGAUCUGCAUGGCCAGGACUUGACCAUAUUUCAAAACACGGCUGAAAAGGGGAAGUGGAGAACCCCUGUGGAUUUCCUUUCCACCUCAUCUUCCCGGGUUGGGCAAAUGAUGCUUGAGACCGUUAUGGCUGCAGCUGAGCUCUGAACAUACAGGCCAGGGCACUGAUGCCAUGAGACAGGGCACUGGGUCUUCUCCCAUUGGCCUCAGUGAGAUAGUGGAGGAAAAAUAGGCUGCAGCCUGGGUUGUACUGUCAGGUCUGACCAUGGGAGAAUGCUUUCUUUAAGCAAAGGUGUUGCUUAGCAUUUACCUAUUCACAAAUACUCUUCUUUCAAAGUCAUGGAAUCAUUACAGAUGGAAAAACCCCUUUAAGAGCAUCUAGUCCAAUCAUCAACCCAUCACCACCAUGCCCACUAAACUGUGCCACAAAUCCAUAGGAUAACUUUCUUUUGCUAUUGUGUAAAGCAGCAGGGACUUUCCAUUUGCAGAAAGAAGGGAGCAUAGGUUGGUGGCUACAGCUCAGAAGUGCAGCUUGGAGAUAAAGCAUCCAUUAACCUGCAGGCACUGCCUUGCAGAGUUCUAAUUAUGAGCAGCUCUUAAUCCCUUGUGUUGUUUUUUUCCUAAAAUGCACUGAUACAGGCUGAGAAUGAAUCCUGAAAGACAAGGCACUCAAGGGGACAUCAGCAGCCUCUCUGCAGAGCAGAGUGGUGCUGUGCAAUGCUUAUCUGAAGAAAUCUGCAAUUCGGAGUACAAGGAGUGCCCUGUUUGCAUCAAGGCCAGGUCUAUGGCAGUGGCCCCAUGGGAACUGUAGUUUCCCUCCCAAACAUGACUUGGUUCAAGACCUUGCUCUUCAACCUUUGCAGCAAUUUGUGUACCCUCAAAUUUCAGAUUCAUAGUUUUAGAAAGCAGCACAAAAAACCCCUCAGAAGAGCAGGUAGAGUGCCACCCAGCUGCAUGGAUGGUUGCAAGGAAAUUGGUAGACCGGGAAAUGGACAAGGAGAAGGUGCCAAGGUUAGAGACCAUAUAAUUUAUUUAUCACAGGACUUGUUCUUCCACUUACACACAUUUCCUUCUGCAUGGUAUCCUACUGUCUAUCUCUGUGGGGUUGUGGGGAAUGGCCACACAUCUCGGUUUCCUCAGACGUCCUCUUUUCCCUCGCUUGUCCUGGAGAUCCUAAAAUGCAGUGGUGCCUGCACUGUUGUUUCGUUAAUGCAGCUGGUUCUUAAUGGCCCAACGAUAUUUACUUAGGUCCUGUGGCCCCACAGGGGAAAAAAUGGCUCUUUUAGCACAAGAAGCCUGAUGGAAAGGGUGGUUUAUGAGAGGAACAAAGUUUUGGGAAGAGAGGAAAAGUCAAAUGAGUGCAAACACCAAAGCUAUUCCCUUGCUUGAAAGGAAUACUAAGAAAACUUGCUCAGUGGGUCAUGAUGAGCUCAUUCAGUCCGUUAGAUUACUGGAAAAAUCUUCCACUUUGAAAAGUAUGCAUGUGUCUGUGUUGAGUCAGAAUCUGGCAGAGCCGCUUUAGUACACAUUUUUGUUGUGAAAAAGUCCCUUUUGUCUUUUGUGAACCUGAAAAACUUCUGGCCUGAGUAGGCUUUAUGUUUCAAAGUUUUUUUGCACAGAAAAUGUAGGUGCUGCACUGUUGCAUUUUGUAGGCAGUGUGGUAUCUCUGGGCCUAAGGUGGGUCGGUUUUCUUACUUGCAAUACUUUUCUCCAGUGUUGCGCAUCCCUUUAUUGCUGUCCAGGCAGCUUUUAUGCAGUGUACAAAUAGCGGUGCAUGAAAACAUUGCAGGCACACCCCUGCACAUGCUCACAUGCAGUUCAUGUUUCUAAAAGUUUGCUGCAAGCGUAACAAUUUUUUUCUGCUAAACUUCUUGGCAUACUUUCAGUGCAAAGCUGGCAGCUUUCGUACAAUGAAUGCAGCCUGAAGUGUGGGGGCUCAGAGAAAAUAAGGAGAUCUGUGACACUGAGAAAACACAGUCACAGACACCACAGCACUACUCUGGGAUGAGCACAGUAGCUGCAGGGGAGGGGUCAUGGUCAAAUAUGCUAUUUCAAGCAAAAUCUGAGAGGAGGAUGUGUGCUUGGCCACAGGAAGAGCGUUGUCUUAGUCAGAGCAGUUAAUCAUGCAACAUGAAGAGAAGUACGUAUAGCAAGAUUUCUGUUUCCAGCAGUUUUACCUCCUCUGAGAUGACUUGCGUGUAUUUUUGCCUUGCUAUUUGCAGUAUGGCAGCAUCUGCUCCCGGCCUUAAUGAAAAGCUGGCAGCUCCAGGCGGUGUGAGCCACGCUGCCGUCACCAAGCUAACCUCCCCAUGCCUCUUGCAGGCAGACAGAGACAAGGAGAGAAUAAAAAUGUCCGGUGACGUCAAUGAAGACCACACUCUGCUGGAUAAUAUUACUGUGUGCCUCAACCGCCCACUCCCUUUAAUUUACUAGAAGCUAAGCAAGCUGUUUUGAAACCCAUAGCUUCCAGCGUGUUUACGCUGCUCUCCCUCAACCAAAGGCUACUAAUUGUCAGGAGCUUGAAAGCUACCUGAUGCCUCGUUCAAAGCACUGAAGCAGAGGGGAUUUCCAUGAGUAAUAAUUUCAGUCUGUGCCUGCGUAGCACACUGUAGGCUAGAGUAAAUUGAUCCAGCUGCUUGCAAGGCUGGAUGGAAAAGUGCCCAGGGGGGCCAGAGCACAGCACCAGAUGGAGCUAGAUGUCAUCACGUGGGGCUCCCAGCUGCUGGGCAUGCUCCAGCCUGGCUCCCAGCAGCAGCUCGGCAGGCUGGGCUGCACCGCUCACAGCGUGUGGUUGGGUCGCCAGUGUGUGUUGCAACAUCUUCUCUUGUGAUGAAGAGGACGAUUUUGGAUUAGCCAGAACUGUUGUCGUCUUUUGCUCAGCUGCAGUCUUCUCUGUGACAACGACUAAAAAAGCUUGCGAGAGGCCGGCUGCCUCCACAAAUAACCAGAACUGGCAGGAUUAACCUGUAACCCGGGGCAGUGUAUACACACAUCCCACCAGCCAGAUGGCAGAGUUCAAAGAUCCGCUCACUUCCUGGCCGAGGUUGCACAAGUUAAUUUUUAUCCUUGUUAAAAAGAAGUAAGAAAAUAUAGCAAUAAAAUGUUUGCUGCUUGCUAUCUCUGGUUUUAA